GGCUCAGUAUAUCAGUUAUAAUCUGCUCGAUUGUCAAGGUUAUUGGAUAACCGUGGGAAAUCUAGAGCUAAUACAUGCACCGCUCGGUGUGGGUUCGCCCGCAUCGAUUGCAUUUAUUAGAGCGAUACCAACAGUGUGUUUCACACUUGGCGAAUCUAGAUAACUGUGCAGAUCGUAUGGCCUUGAGCUGACGACAUUUCGAUUGAGUUUCUGCCCUAUCAACUUUGUUGGCAGUGUAAGGGACUGCCAAGGUUAUAACGGGUAACGGGGAAUCAGGGUUCGAUUCCGGAGAGGGAGCCUGAGAAACGGCUACCACAUCCAAGGAAGGCAGCAGGCGCGCAAAUUACCCAAUCCAGACAAUGGGAGGUGGUGACGAAAAGUACCGAAUAGCAACCAUUGGUUGCUAGUUUGGAAUGAAGACAAUUUAAGCAAUUGAAUUGAGUAACAACUGGAGGGCAAGUCUGGUGCCAGCAGCCGCGGUAAUUCCAGCUCCAGUAGCGUAUCUCAAAGUUGCUGCGCUUAAAACGCUCGUAGUUGGAUCAUGCACUACGCUUUGGUGUACUUGGAUAGUUGUGCUUUAUAUCCUGUCUCUGGUUGGGGUGUCCACACUUCUUCCGGGGAACGGGUGCGCAUUGUCUUGUUAGUAAUUAGCCAGAGCGUAGUAAUUGCACGUGGGGAUGGUCGUUAGCCUUGAGUGUGCUGGUGACCGUGUCUCACGGGGUGUGCCUUGAGUAAAUCAGAGUGCUUAAAGCAGGCGUUAGCUUGAAUGUUGAUAGCAUGGAACGAACAAUCGUGUAUGGUGUGUGCUGGCAACGGUUGGUGGGAUUCUGUCCCAUCAACUGCAGCACACGACACCGACCGCCAAUUACGGAUGUUGGUUCCGUAUUGGGGUACUGAUUAAGAGGAGCGGUUGGGGGCAUUGGUAUUCGGCAGCGAGAGGUGAAAUUCUUGGACCUGCCGAGGACUAACAAAUGCGAAGGCAUCUGUCCAGACCGUAUCCAUUAAUCAAGAACGAAAGAGAGAGGUUCGAAGACGAUCAGAUACCGUCCUAGUUCUCUCUGUAAACUAUGCCGACCCGGAAUCAGUUUUGAUAUAUAUUUCAAUACUCAAGGUUGGUUCCCCUGGGAAACCUAAAGUUUUUCGGUUGCGGGGGGAGUAUGGUCGCAAGGCUGAAACUUAAAGGAAUUGACGGAAGGGCACCACCAGGGGUGGAGCCUGCGGCUUAAUUUGACUCAACACGGGAAAACUUACCUGGUCCGGACAUCAGUAGGAUAAACAGACAAGCUCUUUUUUGAUUUGGUGAUUGGUGGUGCAUGGCCGUUCUUAGUUCGUGGAGUGAUCUGUCAGGCCAAUCCCGGUAACGAACGAGACCACAGUCUCCAUUUGACGAGUCGGGGAAGGCGUCUAUCGAUCAGAAAGCUGUUCACGCAGUGAUUUGGACUUUGGGCGCUGUAGGCAGUGUUGGUCUCUCGAGAGUUUAACCAAGUGUGUUUACACAUGAAGUUGAACUUUUGGGAUACAGCCGACACUCCCUCUGGCGUAGCAGUGUGUACCCCGCAAGGAGUGCACAAUGUAUCAUGGAGAGACAACGGAAUAUAUUUACAAAAUCCGAGGAAGUGUGGCUAUAACAGGUCUGUGAUGCCCUUAGAUGUUCAGGGCUGCACGCGCGCUACAAUGGCUACGACAGCGAGUAUCUGGAUCGAAAGAUUUGGGUAAUCUUACAAUCGUAGCCGUGAUGGGGAUCGACGUUUGUAAUUACGUCGUGAAAGAGGAAUCCCUAGUACAUGCGAUUCAUGAGAUCGCGCGGAUUUAGUCCCUGCCCUUUGUACACACCGCCCGUCGCUACUACCGAGCGAAUGGUGUCAUAAUACCUUGGGAGCGGACGUCGCGCUGAGCCUCGGUUCGGAGCGACGCUGCGAUCA
RNAcentral lists this ribosomal RNA (1922 nucleotides) under Myxobolus miyairii. Its description in RNAcentral is "SSU rRNA". It matches the Rfam family "Eukaryotic small subunit ribosomal RNA". The record is from RNAcentral. Lineage: Eukaryota; Metazoa; Cnidaria; Myxozoa; Bivalvulida; Myxobolidae.